UCCUGUAAAUAUUGUAAAAUGCUUCAACUUUCAUAAACAUGGUAAGAUAAAUGAGAAAUUUUUAACUGAGAGUGAAACUCAAUUGCUGUAUAACUGUUCUACUCAAUUAUAACCGUGCCUGAACAUUUUCAAGUUCUCUUCUCCUUUGCUGCAAUCAGGUCUAUUUUUCUCACAGAGACUGUAACCCAGCAACUCAGCAUUAGUAGAGUAACAAGUGAUUAGAAGCAGAUAUUAACUUCUGACUACCAAAUGGACAAUCUCCCAUUAAAGCAGCUGAAGAAAAUGUCUUUUUAGCAUGGAAACUUCUGAACAUUUCUUCACUGGAAUUCUUUACAAGUUUGAAAUAAGAUUAUCUCAGAUGCUGCUUCUCUGCAAAAUGUAAGGAGAGGUAGAAAGAACAGACAGCUUUUUAUGGGUCAGACCCUCGUCUCUUAGCAGUGGCUGCAAACGGGUGAAGUGACACUCUGAACCCCUGGUGGCAUCCUGCAUGUGACCAGCGCCUGAGGCAGUCUGCUCCGUGGGCUGGCUGCGGUGGGUGAUUCCAGCCCUUCCAUCGUGGGCUGGCUGCAAUGGUGUUUCCAUCCGUUCCGUCGUGGGCUGGCUGCAGUGGUGAUUCCAGCCAUUCCCUCGUGGGCUGGCUGCAGUGGUGAUUCCAGCCAUUCCCUCGUGGGCUGGCUGCAGUGGUGAUUCCAGCCGUUCCCUCAUGGGCUGACUGUGGUGGGUGAUUCCAGCCGUUCCCUCGUGGGCUGGCUGCAGUGGUGAUUCCAGCUGUUCCAUCCUGGGCUGGCUGUGGUGGGUGAUUCCAGCCUUUCCAUCAGCCCCACGCAGGAGGCAGCUGAGAGGUCCCAGCACUCAGGCUGGGAUUGCUGGUGGCUGCUGGAGCACAGCCAUGGGGAGCAGCCCUCACAGAGCUCCCUUGCCGUGUUGUAGGCAAGGAGGUUAUAACCGCAUCUCCCACACCACAGAAUCCCUGCCAUGAGCUGUCAGCUUCCAACUCUGUCUUCCCCACCCCCAUCUGAUUUAACAUACAGUGCAAAAAGAAGUUGGACUGGUCCCACAUUAGGGGACCAUGUUGCAACCUCCUCUCUGAGCAUGAAACAGGAUCCCUUAGGAAUAAUGGGAUUAACUGAGGAGAAGUAGGGGCACUUAGCUUCUGGCAUUAUUAAAUCUUGCAAUCCUUAUUUGAAAUUUUGCACCACACAUCUCAAGCUACUUUUUGCAGAGGCAGACAAUAACUGUCAUCUGUCUGGGAUUUGUGCAGAACAAUAAUACUUGGUUUUUAACAGCGGAUUAUGGAUAUUCUAUCCAGCUCAUGCCUGCUGUAACUCUACUAACAUCAAAGGGUUUGCACUAGGGAUAAAGUUUGCACAUUCAACUUUGUUGGCCAAAUUCAAGUUAGGAAAUUCAAUGUUGUUGAACAAGAUCAGUCAUUAAAACACAUAAUAACUUAUUGUCCUUUUGCUAAUCAUCAUUAAAUGAGCUAAAUGUCCUAAACUAGCCCUUGCUUUCUUGCAGGAUGGAUUCAAUUUGGCUUAAGAUGAGGCUCCAGAUCUGUCACCCACAGUCAAUGUCCCAGCUGCCUUCACUUCAUUGGAUCCAGCUGAAGUAUUCUGCUCAGCAGGAGAGCUCAGCUGGGCUAAUGGGCCCUAGAGGCUUGUUCUACUAUUUUCUCAUCUCCUGUUAGGUUUUAGCCAGGUGCAGAAUCCACUGCCUAUUUCCUGAUUAAUCCAGUAUCUGUUUUGUCACAGCUGAAAAUAGCAAGAAGCCUACAGAGAGCUUUAAAUAGUGGCAAGUCAGAGCAGGUAAGAGCUGUCAUCUGCUGCAGAGUGGGAGGUCAGUCUGAUGUAUGUAAUGCACCUAGAGUGGAGGCAAGCAAGAAGACCCUUUUCUCCAAAGUUAAGCAGCUUUCGUAACUCCCACAACAAGAAGGCGACAGGAGAGGGAGCCUAGCUUUUCGUUUCCUCUACUGAAGUGGAGUAAGGGAAAUGACUUUGAGAGUCUUCCAUUUCAAGAUUUUAAUGGGUGGUUUUAACCUGAUUGUUUUAAACAUGUUCAGAGGUCAAUAAAAGAAAAAGCUCUCUACUUGGGAAUCUUCCUCUCAGCACAGUCUUAGUUUAAUAGUUUUCAUGACAUGCUUUCAUCAAGUUCUCUUUCCCUCCUCCUUCUGUCAGACUUCACAAAGCCCUGCUGAUUUACUUCAGGUUUAGCUGCACUCCAGAGAAAUGCAAAUUGCACAGGUGGCCAUUCAAAGGGUCAAGAUUGAUAUUCAAGGUGUUGUCCUUUGAGGCUGACCACAAGGGAGAAGGCUAGUACUUUCCCAACUCCAUGUUUUUCCUUGUAGGAAAGGGGACAGAUUGUGCAUUUGUUCGCUCUCGUCUGAGCCUUCCCAAACAGCUCUGUUACAUGGCAAAGAAACUGCCAGGCUGUGCUGAAGGAAAGGCAGUCAAGGAAGUAGGGAUCAUAAAAUAAUGCUGAUGUGGCAUGGCUGCAAUAGUAGUGCACAUGUUGUCUAAUUUCUGUAACAAAGACUAUGAAGGAAGUCAGGGUGCAAUGCAGCCACUGACCACUAUGACAGGAACAGCUCCCAAGUAGGAGCAAGUCUCUGCUUCCUUUUGCUCACAUUCUGACAUCUCUGUUUUAAGAAACUGCCUUAAAAAUGAACUCCUUACAUCAUCAAAGAUAAUAUUCUGUCCAGCUAAGGUAGGAAUCUGGAAUAAAUCUGUCUAUGCUGUUUUCUGGACUUGUGGUGUAAAGCAUCAGAUUUCUUUUUCAAGCAUGAUGGAAAUAACAGUUCUUAUCUAAUUCUAAUGACUACUUGAUUCUUAGGUUUAAAUACAUUUGUGCCUCAAACAGUCUUAACUUUGACUUGUCCUCUUAGGUAAAAAGGAUAAUAUAUUUAUGUUAAAGAAAAAAAUUGAUGUUGAAUUUGCUUGUAACAGUUAAGCAGCAGUCUUAAAUGACUUCUCAACCAAGCAGUAGUACCUUGUUACAUCCUGUAUUUAAUAUGGACAGGCCUCUUGUCACCUGGUAUAUUUUGUUUUGUUGCUCAAUUUCACUGCUUAUAAUAAACACCACUUUUUUUCUUCUUCUAAAUGAUGUGAAUAACAAUCCCCUCCCUGUCUCAUCCCUGCACAGGUCAUGGGUAUUUAGCUGCUAAAUUUCUGUACCUCAGAAAAUUAUGCGUCCAGAACAUCUUGUUUAUAUAUUUUCUAAACUGUUGCUCUUUCCUCAAAAUGAUGAAUGUCAGCAACAGCUGGACAGUGUAUGAUUAAAUUUCACCUUGUCUCCAUUCCCAGAACUCUACUUCCAUAUGGAGUUCCGUAAAGCAAUACUAAAAGCAUGGGAGCAGGGAUAAAUAUGCCUUGAGCUGUAACUUGUUCUGCAUUCACAACUUAGUAUUUCGGCAUGCAUUUUGCAAAGCACUAGUUUUGUUUGCUAUUGUGGCUUCUACAAUUCAUCUACUGUUUUCAGUCUUUAGUCAAUUGACUUGGAACUUUGCUUUUACACACAUGAAUAGAUUUUGGAUCUUACCUUUCUCUGGAGCACUGCCAAUAAUGACUUCAAUUGCAAAUAGCAUAUGCUGUAAUAAAAAUGGGUGAAAAUCCAAAUUCCCCCAAUGCAGCCCUAAGUUGCACAAGGGCAAAUAUUUUUUAACAGAACAAGCCCUCCAAAGAGCAGGAAAUGCACAGGUACCUAGCAUGAAGGUACACUGUUUGCAGUUACUGUGCCUCCCCUUCGUGGCUAGUAGGGUGUGGAUCAGAUCUACCAAUGCAUACAAUUAAGCUGGGUAAUUAGUACUUUAGGAACCUGAUUGAAAUUAAAGCUCACCAUGAUGCAAGCAAACAGUUUUACUGAGUGUGCAACUGUUAUUAAAUCACUUACUUUUGAGUAGUAUCUGUACAGUUUUAUGGCACAGCGAUGACUUGCUUUUGUGAAGGCUUGCCCUUAAUAAUAAUGAUCUCCCAUUGGCCCCAAGCCUCUGGUGUUGCACCUGGCACGUAUUUAGUGAAUCUAAGGAUUUAGUGGGUUGUGUUCCUAUUUUCUAGCAAAAGCAUGACAUUAUUCUAGGCUGGUGAUGUUGCUUGCUCCCUUCUAUAGAAUUGCUUUCUAGUAAGUUCUUCCCUAUUGUUUGUAGGAUUUGCACAGAUUGUAGCAUUGUAGUUGAAUUUUCAUACUCAAAUAUUACACUUGCCCUUGUCUUUUUUUAAAUCCCAUCACUAAUUUGAAAAUAUCAAAUAAUGUGCUUCUUCCCAGGGCAGGGUGUCACUGUAGGUAAUGAAGGACACUUGCUGUUUUGUCUUUUGCUGACGAAUAACACUAGGCAUAGGGAGAACCCCUUUAAAAGCCUGUUUAGUGCUUUCAGUGAAACAGAACUACCAGUGGGAGUUGAGGAGGCAGGUAGGAUGCUACUUUGUUUGGAUAUCUCCAUUCUUACCCACAUGCAGGUGAGUUGGUCUAUGUUAAAUAAUAUCUAAUACCUUUCCCUGCUUAUCUACUAUGCAGAAAAUAUGCAACAUGCACAGAUGGUCUAGUUACCUCUUGGGGAAUUCAGUGCUUCUCUGAUGUAGUGAGCAACUGGAUAGAAGUGAAUGCUGAGAUCAAAGUUGGGGUUGUCCUCUGCUUCUACUCCGUAGUAAUGCACAGGCAAGUCGCUGUAGAAGUUGGGCCCGGUGUUGAUGCGGAACCUCCCGGCAGCGGCGUUCACCACGUGGGAGAUGCCCAGACGGCUCAGCUGCGCCUUGUCGCGAGCGACGUACCUGGAGGAAAGAAGGGGAAUUAGAUCUGCCUGCUGCAUUGCAAAGCAGGGAAGAACGUGCUGCUGAUGGGGGGUUUGUUACAACUGCAGGAAGUGGUAAUGGCUAUUUUAUUGACAGGUUGAUCAGGUUCAAAGUGUUCAUCAGAAUGCUUUAAGACAGAAAUGACUUGUUAAGAAACUAACUCUUAGAUUUCCCUCAGUUUUUUCCCAAACAUAUGUUUAGAUGGUUCUCAGCUGAUGAAAGGUGGUGGUGGAGAUAUUUCUGCACAAGCUAAGGGUUUUCUGAUUUCAAAGACUUUCUCACCAAGUCACCUCUGCUGAGUAUUCAUCAGUUCAGAGGACUGGUGCCAUCUGGCAAAGUGAGGAGGAGAAAAAUGAGCUCGAUCCUGUUUCACCCAGCUUUGGCAUGACUGCCUGAAGUAGCAAUGCCACAGCUCCAGUGGGCUGCUGCAGUGUGUCACUCCUGCACUAAUGCAGGAGGAGAAACCAGGAGGCAGGAGAUAUUUAGUCAGCUGGGAUGCAUUUUCUCUAUGCUACAGCAUCCUCUGCAUAGUUCAAUCUUGUUCAACACUUAGAUCUGUUGUGAGAGGUCCCAGAUUACUGCCUAGCUCUCUGUUUUUAAAUAAAGAGUGGAAGAUUUGGGGGAAGAGUUGCAAUAACCUUCAGCCCUUCCUGUCUCUUACAGGUCUCCCACAUAAAGGUUUGGCCAGACUUCAUCCACGUGCCCUGUGGGGUGUGUGCGUGUGCAGAGCAGGCGCCGCAGCUCCUCCAGGGACGGUGUCCCAGUGCUGCUCCCACUGCCGGGCAUCCCGCUUGAGGCACUUCUUAUCCUGGGCCGCCGUAAGUCCUGGCUGCACAAGGAGUCCCAGGCCAUCCUGAAAGGAAACAGGGAAGUUCCUACUACUGUCUGGAAUUCUAAAUGCUAUUAUUAUCACAGAGAAAAAGCCCAGCCCUUGAUGUGCCAGCACAAGGCUUCUGCUUUCACAUGGAAAGAGGUCUGAGCUGGAGGCAGCUGAAGGGCAGAGUGCUGCCAAGCACUGGCAGCGAUAGCUGGACCUGAGUGAAGAGUUGCCCUUGGGUUUAAUGUGAGUCAAAAGCCUUUACUCACCACAAGAGAGCAAAAGGCAGCUUACAACAGGAGGUUAAGUAAUUCCCCACUAUCCAUCUCUGAAGUGCAAACAGUACAGCCUUGAUGUGCCCCAGGGAAAGGAAGCAAACCAGCCUUUGAAUCUUUACCCAACCUUACUGCUCAUAUUUUGCUUUCACUGACAUCUUUUUCAGAGAGAGAUCCUCAGCCUGUAAGUGCAGCUGGAAAGCAAACUGGAAUUUCACAAACAUUGGAGUUGCUGCGUACGAGGGCCCAGCUCCGGGCUGGCCCUGCCGGGGUCGCUGCUGGCGGAGCUGCUCUGGGGCUCGCACUGCUCGGUGCCGGCGCUGCCCGCACCGGGGCUGGUUUGCAAACAAGAUUAAAGUAUUUUUACCAUCAGAGUAAACUCCAGAUUUCCAGUUGUUCCAGUCAGUGUUUUAAAAGCAUGUUUAAUGUCCAAGUCCCGGAGCUGGCUGAGGAACCCCAUAUUUGGGCAGAUGUUUCUGUGAGUGCUCACUGUCUUCAGAGCAUCCACGA
This is a long non-coding RNA of Zonotrichia albicollis (white-throated sparrow), 6380 nucleotides long. RefSeq lists it as uncharacterized. NCBI's taxonomy places the organism in Eukaryota, Metazoa, Chordata, Aves, Passeriformes, Passerellidae. The record is from RefSeq and is a predicted model, not a curated record.